Molecule: ribosomal RNA, 1508 nt
Filed under: Staphylococcus caprae
Lineage: Bacteria; Bacillati; Bacillota; Bacilli; Caryophanales; Staphylococcaceae
Description: partial 16S ribosomal RNA
Rfam family: Bacterial small subunit ribosomal RNA
Source: RNAcentral
UAGAGUCCGUAGCCGUAGCAAGUGCUGGCGGCGUGCCUAAGGAACGGGAUUUGACCUUGGAUACAUUUGGAGGAGCUUGCUCCUCUGAGGGUGAGUAACCUACCUAUAAGACUCCGAUCCAGUGACUGGGACCCAUGACGGAUAACGCUCCCAGUACCGUAAACCCGUGGACUGAGGGGAAAAUACCGGAUAACAUGUUGAACCGCAUGGUCUUGCUGUCACUUACCGAUGACCGUAGGAAAUGACUAGAUAUUAGCUCCGAUGCAUGGCUUACCAAGGCCGAUGCGUAGCCACACUGGAACUGCUAAAGGUUCAGGUAGGGAUGGACCGGACCCGUAACGUUUAGCGUAGGCAGCAGUAGGGAAUCUUCCGCAAUGGGCGAAAGCCUGACGGAGCAACGCCGCGUGAGUGAAGAAGGUCUUCGGAUCGUAAAACUCUGUUAUUAGGGAAGAACAAAUGUGUAAGUAACUAUGCACGUCUUGACGGUACCUAAUCAGAAAGCCACGGCUAACUACGUGCACCGAUGACCAUGACGUAGGUGGCAAGCGUUACCCAGUUAUAUUAUUGGGCGUAAAGCGCGCGUAGGCGGUUUUUUAAGUCUGAUGUGAAAGCCCACGGCUCAACCGUGGAGGGUCAUCCAGUGGACGUAACCGGGUAGGGCGUGCAUGCAGAGUGCAGAAGCCCGUACGGUACAGGAAAGGCAGAGACCGUGACGUAGGACAACGUGGCCCAACAUCAAUCUUUCUGGUCUGUAACUGACUGGAAUGAAACGUGAACAGGAUUAGAUACCGUGCAGUGACGGUACGUACGAAUGCAUGGUGGCGCAUGCCCUGGUAUGAGGUUUCCGCCCCUUAGUGCCCGAUGAUGCAGCUAACGCAUUAAGCACUCCGCCUGGGGAGUACGACCGCAAACUCAAAGGGCCGAUAACGUAGCAGGUACGACCCGCACAAGCGGUGCGAAGCAACGCGAAGAAGGUUGAACCUUACCAAAUCUUCUAGAGAUAGAGUUUUCCCCUUCGGGGGACAGAGUGACAUGCUAAGUGUUAGGGGUGGUGGUGCAUGGUUGUCGUCAGCUCGUGUCGUGAGAUGUUGGGUUAAGUCCCGCAACGAGCGCAACCCUUAAGCUUCCGAUGCAGUAGACCGUAGAAAUAACCGUGAAGUUGCCAUCAUUAAUGACAAACCGGAGGAAGGAUGACGUCAAAUCAUCAUGCCCCUUAUGAUUUGGGCUACACACGUGCUACAAUGGACAAUACAAAGGGUAGCGAAACCGCGAGGUCCGUGCCGGUAGCCCAUGCCCAUCAAGCAAAUCAGUUCGGAUUUGGGGGUAGUCUGGAAUCGCUAGUAAUCGUAGACGGUGCCGUGAACGUUGUGGGAUAAUACGUUCCCGGGUCUUGUACACGCACCGCCCGUCACACCCCGUGAAACGUGACCCGAAGCCGGUGGAGUAACCUUUUGGAGCUAAACUCGACUAACAAAUGAUUGGGGUGAAGUCGUAACAAGGUAGCCGUA